UUGUCUUCAGGUCCAAAGACAAUGGUCGUUCCCUUUUUUUUGGUGGAUUGUCCACAUCAGGAAGCACUUUUCUUUUCACACCUUUUGUGCUCUUUCCCUGACUCCUGAUUAGGUCGUUCUCUUCUUUGAUCUUUUCAAUUUCUUCUUUCUGUUUCAUUUCUGGUGAUUUUGUCACAAUGGUAGAAGCGAUUUUUUUUACCUGACUUUGAAUUAGGUUUGGUGGGAUAGGUAGAGGUCUAAUUACCACUAACUCGCCAUAUCGAAGCUGACACUGAGGAUUCACAGUUAUGGUAAGGCCGAAGGGAAGGAAUGAAUUCGACAGAAAGAUCUUGUUUUGUAGGUCAUGAAAUCUGUGAUUUAAUUCCCUGGAAACACUUGACGUAGAUAGGGCAAAAGCUUCAUAGCUCUUUUGUUGAUCUCCCAACUUAGUGGAUCUUUCUGACCAAUGCUGACUGCAUAUUUGUACGCCAGUUCCCGGAUUGUUAGCAGGGGAUACCUUCUGCGAUUCCGGCAAUCCUCUUUUUACCCUCCGCAACUGUGGUAAUCGGGAUUCCAAGGGCUGCGGAAGCAUCUUUAACUUUCAGCUUUUCUUGGAGAAUUUCCUGGAGAGCUGUUGCAUGGUUGCCUCAUCCACAGUGCUGCGUUCUUUCCUCUCACUUUGCUUUUCUCCAUCCUCUGCAUAUCUCAAAAUUGAAUGAAUGGAAUCACAAAAUUCUCACAACCUUUUCACAGAAAAUCUUCCUUCUUUGACACAAAAACAAUAACAAAAAAGUGAGGUUAUGCCGAAAAUAUUCAAAAACUAGUUAUAAGCUGUAAGAGUUUAUAGGAGAUGUGAUUCUUUCACUUUAUUUCAGUUUGUGCAAACAAUAAAAAACGCUUUUAUGCAAAAAUAUUACAAAAUUGUUUUCAUAAUUACUUUACUGCGGCAUAAUUGAGUCAUAUUAUUUUUGUUAAUCAACUUUAAGCUUUUUUGCAUUUUAGUUUAUAUAGUGAUUGAUCAAAUCAAAGAAUUACAAUAUGUGUGAAUAUGAGAGAAUUGCACUUAAUAAUAGAGUUGCCUGAUUUUUAUGCUCAAACAUGGGCACCGAGGAUUUAAUUGGAUGGGCAUGGGUAGGACUUUUAAAUCUUCUACCACCCACAAAACCAGCUUCAUCCUAGUCAAAAGAUUUUUCUUUAAAUAUAAUCCCUGGUGAAGCCUCUAUGUGCCUGUAUAGUAGUUUUUCCAAAAAGUGUGAUUAAUUGUGAAAAAUUGUAUGAAAUAUGACACAACAAAAUUACAGUUUUGGGCCUAUUUUCGAUUUUUGUUUCCAGGAACUAGGAUAAAAGGACUAGAAUCCUAUUUUUUUCAGGAAAGGUGAGGCAUAUGACUAGCUUUUAAAAUAUAUUGCGAUGAGUCACAAUUAUUGAGUAAUAUAAGAAUAAUUGAGUUAUUGUAAAGCUUGGGUCUUUUAAAGCAUGGGCACUUUCCCCUA
Long non-coding RNA from Phlebotomus papatasi, 1472 nucleotides. RefSeq lists it as uncharacterized. NCBI's taxonomy places the organism in Eukaryota, Metazoa, Arthropoda, Insecta, Diptera, Psychodidae. The record is from RefSeq and is a predicted model, not a curated record. The transcript is spliced from 2 exons.